ACGGCUCAGUAACACGUGGACAACCUACCCUGAAGUCGGGGAUAACCCCGGGAAACUGGGGAUAAUACCCCAUAGGCUAUGGAUGCUGGAAUGCUCUGUAGUUGAAAGGUCCGCCGCUUCAGGAUGGGUCUGCGGCCGAUUAGGUUGUUGUUGGGGUAACGGCCCAACAAGCCUGUAAUCGGUACGGGUUGUGGGAGCAAGAGCCCGGAGAUGGAUUCUGAGACACGAAUCCAGGCCCUACGGGGCGCAGCAGGCGCGAAAACUUUGCAAUGCGAGCAAUCGUGACAAGGGAACUCCGAGUGCCUGUAAAAUCAGGCUGUCCGCCAGUGUAAAUAACUGGCGAAGAAAGGGCCGGGCAAGACCGGUGCCAGCCGCCGCGGUAAUACCGGCGGCUCGAGUGGUGGCCACUAUUACUGGGCUUAAAGCGUUCGUAGCUGGCUUGUUAAGUCUCUGGGGAAAUCUUCCGGCUUAACCGGAAGGCGUCUCAGGGAUACUGGCAGGCUAGGGACCGGAAGAGGUGAGAGGUACUCCAGGGGUAGGAGUGAAAUCCUGUAAUCCUUGGGGGACCACCUGUGGCGAAGGCGUCUCACCAGAACGGCUCCGACAGUGAGGAACGAAAGCUGGGGGAGCAAACCGGAUUAGAUACCCGGGUAGUCCCAGCUGUAAACGAUGCGCGUUAGGUGUAUCGGUGACCACGAGUCACCGAGGUGCCGAAGAGAAAUCGUGAAACGUGCCGCCUGGGAAGUACGGUCGCAAGGCUGAAACUUAAAGGAAUUGGCGGGGGAGCAC
This 789-nucleotide ribosomal RNA is filed under the name uncultured archaeon. RNAcentral describes it as "bacterial SSU rRNA". It matches the Rfam family "Archaeal small subunit ribosomal RNA", at positions 85 to 879 of the family's 1478-position model. The record is from RNAcentral.